RNAcentral lists this long non-coding RNA (211 nucleotides) under Lathyrus oleraceus (garden pea). RNAcentral describes it as "Pisum sativum (pea) long non-coding RNA (PSAT_LNC009959)". The record is from RNAcentral. Lineage: Eukaryota; Viridiplantae; Streptophyta; Magnoliopsida; Fabales; Fabaceae.
AUUACAUUAAAUUUCUAAGCACUUUUUGUUCAAUCAUUCAAUUUAAAUCCAAAACUAAAAAGAUUACAAUCAUCAUUCUAAACUCAUAAUGUAAUCCUACAUCAGUCCAAUGCCACGAACCAAUCUCUUUGAAUUCAAACUCCAAAGCAGCUUCAUUGGCAUUCCAAUUGAAGAUCCAGAACAUGAGCACCAAAACUUCAAAACAGUUCCA